Molecule: ribosomal RNA, 301 nt
Filed under: uncultured bacterium
Lineage: Bacteria
Description: partial 16S ribosomal RNA
Rfam family: Bacterial small subunit ribosomal RNA
Source: RNAcentral
CAGUAGCCGCGGUAAUACGUAGGUGGCAAGCGUUGUCCGGAAUUAUUGGGCGUAAAGGGCUUGCAGGCGGCUUCUUAAGUCUGAUGUGAAAGCCCCCGGCUCAACCGGGGUGGGUCAUUGGAAACUGGGAAACUUGAGUGCAGAAGAGGAGAGUGGAAUUCCACGUGUAGCGGUGAAAUGCGUAGAGAUGUGGAGGAACACCAGUGGCGAAGGCGACUCUCUGGUCUGUAACUGACGCUGAGGAGCGAAAGCGUGGGGAGCGAACAGGAUUAGAUACCCCCGUAGUCCCUGUCUCUUAUAC